GUAAAGACAAUGAUGAGGAAUAGUAAAUUUGUGGUUCUUUUUAGAGAGCUAGCGGUUGGUGGGAGCUAGUAGGAGAGCAAAUUGAACUCGCCUUCUGAGUCUGCCCGCGUGAAAUAGCGCGUGCCGUUCAUUCCGCGUUAAGGAAGCAAGAGCCGAGUGUAAUCACUAAUGUGGGUGGUACCGCGGGAGAUACGAAUUCUCUCGUCCCUUUC
This 212-nucleotide non-coding RNA is filed under the name Lysinibacillus xylanilyticus. RNAcentral's name for it is "T-box sequence". It matches the Rfam family "T-box leader". From Rfam's summary of the family: Uncharged tRNA acts as the effector for transcription antitermination of genes in the T-box leader family. T-boxes are found upstream of many aminoacyl-tRNA synthetase genes and some amino acid biosynthetic genes usually in Gram-positive bacteria. The record is from RNAcentral. Lineage: Bacteria; Bacillati; Bacillota; Bacilli; Caryophanales; Bacillaceae.